AGUUUAUGGAAGGUUUUAAGUUAAAUAAACUAAUAAUCUUCAAAAUUAUUUAUAAAGAAUAUUUCUUUAAGCCUUA
This 76-nucleotide transfer RNA is filed under the name Palpita hypohomalia. RNAcentral describes it as "tRNA-Trp". The record is from RNAcentral. Lineage: Eukaryota; Metazoa; Arthropoda; Insecta; Lepidoptera; Crambidae.